This 497-nucleotide ribosomal RNA is filed under the name uncultured bacterium. RNAcentral's name for it is "partial 16S ribosomal RNA". It matches the Rfam family "Bacterial small subunit ribosomal RNA", at positions 28 to 507 of the family's 1533-position model. The record is from RNAcentral.
GAUGAACGCUGGCGGCGUGCCUAAUACAUGCAAGUCGAGCGAACGGACGAGAAGCUUGCUUCUCUGAUGUUAGCGGCGGACGGGUGAGUAACACGUGGAUAACCUACCUAUAAGACUGGGAUAACUUCGGGAAACCGUAGCUAAUACCGGAUAAUAUUUUGAACCGCAUGGUUCAAAAGUGAAAGACGGUCUUGCUGUCACUUAUAGAUGGAUCCGCGCUGCAUUAGCUAGUUGGUAAGGUAACGGCUUACCAAGGCAACGAUGCAUAGCCGACCUGAGAGGGUGAUCGGCCACACUGGAACUGAGACACGGUCCAGACUCCUACGGGAGGCAGCAGUAGGGAAUCUUACGCCAUGGGCGAAAGCCUGACGGAGCAACGCCGCGUGAGUGAUGAAGGUCUUCGGAUCGUAAAACUCUGUUAUUAGGGAAGAACAUAUGUGUAAGUAACUGUGCACAUCUUGACGGUACCUAAUCAGAAAGCCACGGCUAACUACGUG